UGGGGAAUAUUGGACAAUGGGCGGAAGCCUGAUCCAGCCAUGCCGCGUGUGUGAAGAAGGCCUUUUGGUUGUAAAGCACUUUAAGCGAGGAGGAGGCUACUUGGAUUAAUACUCUAGGAUAGUGGACGUUACUCGCAGAAUAAGCACUGGCUAACUCUGUGCCAGCAGCCGCGGUAAUACAGAGGGUGCGAGCGUUAAUCGGAUUUACUGGGCGUAAAGCGUGCGUAGGCGGCUUCUUAAGUCGGAUGUGAAAUCCCUGAGCUUAACUUAGGAAUUGCAUUCGAUACUGGGAAGCUAGAGUAUGGGAGAGGAUGGUAGAAUUCCAGGUGUAGCGGUGAAAUGCGUAGAGAUCUGGAGGAAUACCGAUGGCGAAGGCAGCCAUCUGGCCUAAUACUGACGCUGAGGUACGAAAGCAUGGGGAGCAAACAGG
Molecule: ribosomal RNA, 430 nt
Filed under: bacterium
Lineage: Bacteria
Description: partial 16S ribosomal RNA
Rfam family: Bacterial small subunit ribosomal RNA
Source: RNAcentral